AGAGCACUCGUUUUCAACCAGAGCCCAGAAACAGCCGUUGUCCCCUGGCAAAAGAGGCCCAGUGCUGAGCCCUGGGCAAGUGUCUCCAGACAUCCCUACCUUUCUCUCCCUUUAUUAAGUCUUCUUUCCCAACAGAACCCAUUUCCUUUGCCACUAAAACUAGGUUGCAUCCAAAAGUUUCUCACAAGCUUAAAAAAGAAAAAUUGACACCAUUAUGCAGAAGAAUUCACAAAAGCUGCAGAGCGCCAGGGCAGAGAAGCAGCGUCAGACACAGAGCCCUCUUUUUCUUUGCAGGCCCAGGACACACAGGACGGAUGUUUCCAAGUCACUCCAGGGACAGCAUGAGGCUCUCGCUGGCCUGUGUCUCAGAAGCUGCUUUCUCCACCUCUUCCUUGUGAAUUUCCUAAACUCUCUACCUCUGGUUCAUGUUCGCUCUUCUGGAUAGUCUGUGUGCAAUGAGCCCUUAAAGGAAUAUUGCAAUGAGCUAUAAGAGUUGUGAGCCUGCGGUAGGCAAGGCCUGCACUGGGACAGCAAAGGAAAUUUCAUUGCAUCUGCUCCUAAGUCACAGGUUAUCCAGAGCCCACUUUACCCCAAGAGACAGCCUCUCCCCCAUCCCUAGGAAACAGUAGAGCUUAGGAAAAUGAAUGACUCCACCACAUUCAAGAGGCUUCAAAUUGUAUACUUGGCAUUUCUGAUUUCAGUUCUGAAAUUCUGUCCCUUAGUCGUGGGGAAAAUAAGAAAUGGAGUUACACCUUGUCAUUUAAAAAACCAUUGAAUUAAGAGAAAUGGAAAAUCAUGCCCACAUAAAACAUGUAUGGAAGUGUUCAUGUUUUGAUCAUGGCGGGGGAUAUAGCUCAGUCAUGGAGUGCUUGCAUAGCAAUGUGCAUAAUCCGAGGUUCAAGCCCCAGCACCGAAAAAGAGAAGCGGGAGGAGUGGAGGCAUUCACAGCAGCGUUUUCAGUAUAGGCGCAAAGGGGAAGGAGUUUAAACACCUACUGAGGAAUGGAUAAGCGGAGUGCCUUGUCUAUACUCGGGAUGCUAGUCAUCAGUAGAAAAGUUUGAAAUGAUAGAUACGAUGGAUGAUCCCUUAAACAUCUCCCUAAGUAACGAGGUCAGCCUAGGAAGGCGUAUGUUCCAUAUUUCUGGGAUAUAUGGGCUCACCGAUGCAGAAAAAAGUACAGCCUGGUAUCCUGGAUUGGAGACACGGACUGGACUUUGGAAGACAACAGAAUGGAACAGAAUUUACUUGAGUGGCGAUGUUCUUGAAUGAACGGAAGUCAUGCUUGCCCACUUGAUGACUGCAUUUACAAACCACUGAAUUUUACUUUUAGUGGGUGAAUUGCAUGGUACCUUCAUUUUAAUCUCAAUAAAGCUGCGAGUAUUUUUAAGAGAUUUCUAA
Molecule: long non-coding RNA, 1398 nt
Filed under: Rattus norvegicus (Norway rat)
Lineage: Eukaryota; Metazoa; Chordata; Mammalia; Rodentia; Muridae
Description: long non-coding RNA NONRATT022345
Source: RNAcentral